UACGGAGGAUCCAAGCGUUAUCCGGAUUCAUUGGGUUUAAAGGGUGCGUAGGCGGAAUGAUAAGUCAGUGGUGAAAUCUCGGAGCUUAACUCCGAAACUGCCAUUGAUACUGUCAAUCUUGAGUACAUUUGAUGUGGGCGGAAUGUGUCAUGUAGCGGUGAAAUGCUUAGAUAUGACGCAGAACACCGAUGGCGAAGGCAGCUCACAGAACUGUUACUGACGCUGAGGCGCGAAAGAGUGGGUAUCGAACAGG
This 253-nucleotide ribosomal RNA is filed under the name uncultured bacterium. RNAcentral's name for it is "partial 16S ribosomal RNA". It matches the Rfam family "Bacterial small subunit ribosomal RNA", at positions 524 to 776 of the family's 1533-position model. The record is from RNAcentral.